RNAcentral lists this ribosomal RNA (1309 nucleotides) under uncultured bacterium. RNAcentral's name for it is "bacterial SSU rRNA". It matches the Rfam family "Bacterial small subunit ribosomal RNA", at positions 86 to 1381 of the family's 1533-position model. The record is from RNAcentral.
CUGAUGUUAGCGGCGGACGGGUGAGUAACACGUGGAUAACCUACCUAUAAGACUGGGAUAACUUCGGGAAACCGGAGCUAAUACCGGAUAAUAUUUUGAACCGCAUGGUUCAAAAGUGAAAGACGGUCUUGCUGUCACUUAUAGAUGGAUCCGCGCUGCAUUAGCUAGUUGGUAAGGUAACGGCUUACCAAGGCAACGAUGCAUAGCCGACCUGAGAGGGUGAUCGGCCACACUGGAACUGAGACACGGUCCAGACUCCUACGGGAGGCAGCAGUAGGGAAUCUUCCGCAAUGGGCGAAAGCCUGACGGAGCAACGCCGCGUGAGUGAUGAAGGUCUUCGGAUCGUAAAACUCUGUUAUUAGGGAAGAACAUAUGUGUAAGUAACUGUGCACAUCUUGACGGUACCUAAUCAGAAAGCCACGGCUAACUACGUGCCAGCAGCCGCGGUAAUACGUAGGUGGCAAGCGUUAUCCGGAAUUAUUGGGCGUAAAGCGCGCGUAGGCGGUUUUUUAAGUCUGAUGUGAAAGCCCACGGCUCAACCGUGGAGGGUCAUUGGAAACUGGAAAACUUGAGUGCAGAAGAGGAAAGUGGAAUUCCAUGUGUAGCGGUGAAAUGCGCAGAGAUAUGGAGGAACACCAGUGGCGAAGGCGACUUUCUGGUCUGUAACUGACGCUGAUGUGCGAAAGCGUGGGGAUCAAACAGGAUUAGAUACCCUGGUAGUCCACGCCGUAAACGAUGAGUGCUAAGUGUUAGGGGGUUUCCGCCCCUUAGUGCUGCAGCUAACGCAUUAAGCACUCCGCCUGGGGAGUACGACCGCAAGGUUGAAACUCAAAGGAAUUGACGGGGACCCGCACAAGCGGUGGAGCAUGUGGUUUAAUUCGAAGCAACGCGAAGAACCUUACCAAAUCUUGACAUCCUUUGACAACUCUAGAGAUAGAGCCUUCCCCUUCGGGGGACAAAGUGACAGGUGGUGCAUGGUUGUCGUCAGCUCGUGUCGUGAGAUGUUGGGUUAAGUCCCGCAACGAGCGCAACCCUUAAGCUUAGUUGCCAUCAUUAAGUUGGGCACUCUAAGUUGACUGCCGGUGACAAACCGGAGGAAGGUGGGGAUGACGUCAAAUCAUCAUGCCCCUUAUGAUUUGGGCUACACACGUGCUACAAUGGACAAUACAAAGGGCAGCGAAACCGCGAGGUCAAGCAAAUCCCAUAAAGUUGUUCUCAGUUCGGAUUGUAGUCUGCAACUCGACUACAUGAAGCUGGAAUCGCUAGUAAUCGUAGAUCAGCAUGCUACGGUGAAUACGUUCCCGGGUCU